UCAGGCCCACCCCCCUGGCCCCAAAUCCCGUGGCCCCAGCUGGAGGAUGAGGAGAUGCUGGGCUUGGGUGGGGGAAUC
This is a microRNA precursor of Cercocebus atys (sooty mangabey), 78 nucleotides long. The record is from Ensembl. Lineage: Eukaryota; Metazoa; Chordata; Mammalia; Primates; Cercopithecidae.